GACGAACCGUGCGAACGUUAUUCGGAAUCACUGGGCUUAAAGCGCGUGUAGGCGGGAGGGCACGUCCGUCGCUGAAAUCCCCCGGCUCAACCGGGGAACGGGCGCGGAUACGACCUUCCUUGAGGGGCGUAGGGGGACCUGGAACUUCCGGUGGAGCGGUGAAAUGCGUUGAGAUCGGAAGGAACGCCCGUGGCGAAAGCGGCGCGCUGGACCUCUUCUGACGCUGAGGCGCG
RNAcentral lists this ribosomal RNA (233 nucleotides) under uncultured bacterium. RNAcentral describes it as "partial 16S ribosomal RNA". It matches the Rfam family "Bacterial small subunit ribosomal RNA", at positions 524 to 755 of the family's 1533-position model. The record is from RNAcentral.